Molecule: long non-coding RNA, 1391 nt
Filed under: Linum usitatissimum (flax)
Lineage: Eukaryota; Viridiplantae; Streptophyta; Magnoliopsida; Malpighiales; Linaceae
Description: long non-coding RNA (LUSI_LNC005639)
Source: RNAcentral
CAUGCAAUGUGGGAUCUGCCGAUGGUGAUGCUGCCUACGUUUACUCCUCUCCUCCUCCGCCGUAUGAGUACAAAUCGCCGCCACCUCCUUCCCCUUCCCCACCUCCUCCUUAUCUUUACAAGUCGCCGCCACCUCCUUCACCGUCUCCUCCUCCUCCUCCUUAUGUGUACAAGUCACCGCCACCUCCUUCACCGUCCCCACCACCACCAUACGUGUACAAGUCGCCACCACCACCUUCCCCGUCUCCGCCACCACCAUAUGAGUACAAGUCGCCGCCACCACCUUCCCCGUCUCCACCACCACCAUAUGAGUACAAAUCUCCUCCUCCACCAUCACCGUCACCUCCCCCCCCUUACCACCACUCCUCUCCACCACCACCUUCGCCAUCUCCUCCUCCACCUUACCACGACUCCUCUCCACCACCACCUUCGCCAUCUCCUCCUCCACCUUACCACGACUCCUCUCCACCACCACCUUCGCCAUCUCCUCCUCCACCUUACCACGACUCCUCUCCACCACCACCUUCGCCAUCUCCUCCUCCACCUUACCACGACUCCUCUCCACCACCACCUUCGCCAUCUCCUCCUCCACCUUACCACGACUCCUCUCCACCACCACCAUAUGAGUACAAAUCUCCUCCUCCACCAUCACCGUCACCUCCCCCACCUUACGAGUACAAGUCUCCUCCUCCUCCUUCACCGUCACCACCGCCACCAUACUACUACAAGUCACCGCCGCCACCAUCACCCUCUCCUCCUCCACCAUACUACUAUAAAUCUCCACCACCACCUUCUCCAUCUCCGCCGCCACCUUACCACUACUCUUCUCCACCACCACCUAAGAAAUCACCUCCACCACCAUACUACUACAAAUCUCCACCACCACCUUCGCCAUCUCCUCCUCCACCUUACCACUACUCCUCUCCACCACCACCUAAAAAAUCACCUCCACCACCAUACUACUAUAAGUCUCCACCACCACCUUCACCAUCUCCUCCACCACCGUACUACUAUAAGUCUCCGCCGCCACCAUCACCCUCUCCUCCACCACCAUACUAUUAUAAAUCCCCACCACCACCUUCACCAUCUCCUCCACCGCCGUACUACUACAAGUCCCCACCACCACCUUCUCCGUCUCCUCCACCACCAUAUUACUACAAAUCUCCACCACCGCCAUCACCAUCACCUCCACCACCAUACUACUACAAAUCUCCACCACCGCCAUCACCAUCACCUCCACCACCAUACUACUACACAUCCCCAAAUCUCCACCACCGCCAUCACCAUCACCUCCACCACCAUACUACUACAAAUCCCCUCCACCUCCGGCGAAAUCUCCCCCACCACCUCCGUACUAUUACAAGUCUCCGCCGCCACCUAAGGCUUACCCUC